This is a non-coding RNA of Marasmius sp. AFHP31, 106 nucleotides long. Lineage: Eukaryota; Fungi; Basidiomycota; Agaricomycetes; Agaricales; Marasmiaceae. The record is from the annotation of a GenBank genome assembly.
GCCCGCCUAGCCCAAUUGGAUCGGGCACCAGGUCCUUAUAUCGCCGAUUGAACACUUACAUGUAUAGGUAAUCCGAAGGCUGCGAGUUUGACCCUCGUGGUGGGCA